AGGUGGUGCAUGGCUGUCGUCAGCUCGUGUCGUGAGAUGUUGGGUUAAGUCCCGCAACGAGCGUAACCCUUGUCUUUAGUUGCCAUCAUUUAGUUGGGCACUUUAAAGAGACUGCCGGUGAUAAACCGGAGGAAGGUGAGGACGACGUCAAGUCAGCAUGCCCCUUACGCCCUGGGCUACACACGUACUACAAUGGCCGAGACAAAGAGUCGCAAGUUUGCAAAGACAAGCUAAUCUCAUAAACUCGGUCUCAGUUCGGAUUGUAGGCUGCAACUCGCCUACAUGAAGUUGGAAUCGCUAGUAAUCGCCGGUCAGCUAUACGGCGGUGAAUCCGUUCCCGGGCCUUGUACACACCGCCCGUCACACCAUGGAAGCUGUUCAUGCCCAAAGUCGUUACCUUAACCGCAAGGAGAGGGGCGCCUAAGGUAGGGAUAGUGACUGGGGUGAAGUCGUAACAAGGUAGCCCUACUGGAAGGUGGGGCUGGAUCACCUCCUUAAAGGGAGCUAUAAAACUCCAUAGGUUAACAAAGUGUCACUGCAUUGUAUAUUCUUAUAUGAUGACAAGUCCUUUCUUAGAGCUAGAAGAUUGUAGAGGGCUAUUAGCUCAGCUGGUUAGAGCACACCCCUGAUAAGGGUGAGGCCUCUGGUUCAAGUCCA
This 657-nucleotide ribosomal RNA is filed under the name Teleaulax amphioxeia. Its description in RNAcentral is "SSU rRNA". The stretch from base 1 to 497 matches the Rfam family "Bacterial small subunit ribosomal RNA", at positions 1036 to 1533 of the family's 1533-position model. Lineage: Eukaryota; Cryptophyceae; Pyrenomonadales; Geminigeraceae. The record is from RNAcentral.